AUUCCAGCUCCAAUAGCGUAUAUUUAAGUUGUUGCAGUUAAAAAGCUCGUAGUUGGAUUUCGGGUGGGACGCAGCGGUCUCGCAUUGCGUUUGUACUGCUGCAGCCCUCCUUCUUGCCGGGGGCGGCCCUUCGGACUUCACUGUCUGGGGGUCAGAGUCGGCGAUGUUACUUUGAGUAAAUUAGAGUGUUCAAAGCAAGCUUACGCUCUGAAUAUAAUAGCAUGGGAUAACACGACAGGACUCUGGCCUAUCGUGUUGGUCUAUAGGACCAGAGUAAUGAUUAAGAGGGACAGUCGGGGGCAUUCGUAUUCCGUUGUCAGAGGUGAAAUUCUUGGAUUUACGGAAGACGAACAUCUGCGAAAGCAUUUGCCAAGGAUGUUUUCAUUA
This 387-nucleotide ribosomal RNA is filed under the name Ulva sp. Its description in RNAcentral is "partial small subunit ribosomal RNA". It matches the Rfam family "Eukaryotic small subunit ribosomal RNA", at positions 582 to 975 of the family's 1831-position model. Lineage: Eukaryota; Viridiplantae; Chlorophyta; Ulvophyceae; Ulvales; Ulvaceae. The record is from RNAcentral.